GGCUCAGGACGAACGCUGGCGGCGUGCUUAACACAUGCAAGUCGAACGGUGAAGCCUUCGGGUGGAUCAGUGGCGAACGGGUGAGUAACACGUGAGCAACCUGCCUCUGACUCUGGGAUAACCCCCGGAAACGGGUGCUAAUACCGGAUAUGACCUCCUGUCGCAUGGUGGGGGGUGGAAAGUUUUUCGGUCAGGGAUGGGCUCGCGGCCUAUCAGCUUGUUGGUGGGGUGAUGGCCCACCAAGGCGGUGACGGGUAGCCGGCCUGAGAGGGCGACCGGCCACACUGGGACUGAGACACGGCCCAGACUCCUACGGGAGGCAGCAGUGGGGAAUAUUGCGCAAUGGGCGAAAGCCUGACGCAGCGACGCCGCGUGGGGGAUGAAGGCCUUCGGGUUGUAAACCUCUUUCAGCGCCGAAGAAGCGAGAGUGACGGUAGGCGCAGAAGAAGCACCGGCUAACUACGUGCCAGCAGCCGCGGUAAUACGUAGGGUGCAAGCGUUGUCCGGAAUUAUUGGGCGUAAAGAGCUCGUAGGCGGUUUGUCGCGUCUGCUGUGAAAACUCGGGGCUUAACCCCGGGCUUGCAGUGGGUACGGGCAGACUAGAGUGUGGUAGGGGAGACUGGAAUUCCUGGUGUAGCGGUGAAAUGCGCAGAUAUCAGGAGGAACACCGGUGGCGAAGGCGGGUCUCUGGGCCAUAACUGACGCUGAGGAGCGAAAGCGUGGGGAGCGAACAGGAUUAGAUACCCUGGUAGUCCACGCCGUAAACGUUGGGCGCUAGGUGUGGGGCUCUUUCCACGAGUUCCGUGCCGCAGCUAACGCAUUAAGCGCCCCGCCUGGGGAGUACGGCCGCAAGGCUAAA
RNAcentral lists this ribosomal RNA (859 nucleotides) under uncultured bacterium. RNAcentral describes it as "bacterial SSU rRNA". It matches the Rfam family "Bacterial small subunit ribosomal RNA", at positions 21 to 898 of the family's 1533-position model. The record is from RNAcentral.